CCUACGGGAGACAGCAGUGAGGAAUAUUGGUCAAUGGCCGGGAGGCUGAACCAGCCAAGUCGCGUGAAGGAAGACGGCCCUACGGGUUGUAAACUUCUUUUGUCAGGGAGUAAGGUGUACGUCGGGACCUGCUGUGUGAGUACCUGAAGAAAAAGCAUCGGCUAACUCCGUGCCAGCAGCCGCGGUAAUACGGAGGAUGCGAGCGUUAUCCGGAUUUAUUGGGUUUAUGGGGUGCGCAGGCGGAGGCACAAGUCAGCGGGAAAAUCGCGGGGCUCAACCCCGCUCCGCAGUUGAAACUGUGACUCUUGAGUACGCGAAGGGUAGGCGGAAUGCGUGGUGUAGCGGUGAAAUGCAUAGAUAUCACGCAGAACUCCGAUCGCGAAGGCAGCCUACUGGAGCGCAACUGACGCUGAGGCACGAAAGCGUGGGUAUCGAACAGGAUUAGAUACCCUGGUAGUC
RNAcentral lists this ribosomal RNA (459 nucleotides) under uncultured bacterium. RNAcentral describes it as "partial 16S ribosomal RNA". It matches the Rfam family "Bacterial small subunit ribosomal RNA", at positions 338 to 795 of the family's 1533-position model. The record is from RNAcentral.